GCUUCGGUUUCGUUCCGGAGUUGUGAGGAUUCGUUCGACUACGUCCGUUUGUCUUCUUCAUGGACUCAUUCUUCUUUCUUGCGGGAUCUCAGGCAAGAUGACCAUUACCCUCGAUAUCACUUCUAUCUUUGCUUGCUAGUUGUUCGUUCUAUCGCUAUGUCGUGCUACCUACCACUUGUUUAUCAUGCCUCCCAUAUUGCCAUGUCAAGCCUCUAACCCACCUUCCUAGCAAACCGUUGUUUGGCUAUGUUACCGCUUUGCUCAGCCCCUCUUAUAGCGUUGUUAGUUGCAGGUGAAGUUGAAGAUUGCUCCAUGUUGGAACAUGAUUAUGUUGGGAUAUCACAAUAUCUCUUAUUAAAUUAAUGCACCUAUAUACUUGGUAAAGGGUGGAAGGCUCGGCCUUAUGCCUGGUGUUUUGUUCCACUCUUGCCGCCCUAGUUUCCAUCAUACCGGUGUUAUGUUCCUUGAUUUUGCAUUCCUUACGCGGUUGGGGUUAUGGGACCCCCUUGACAGUUCUCUUUGAAUAAAACUCCUCCAGCAAGGCCCAACCUUGGUUUUACAAUUGCCUCACCUAAGCCUUUCCCUUGGGUUUUCGCGAGCCAGAGGGUCAUCUUAUUUUAUCCCCCCCCCCGGGCCAAUGCUCGUCGUGAGUGUUGGUCCAACCUGUCAACCGCCGGUGGCCACCAGGGGCAACUCUGGGCUGGCCUACCGGAAGUUUGGACAAUCCGGUGUGCCCUGAGAAUGAGAUAUGUGCAGCUCCUAUCGGGAUUUGUCGGCACAAUCGGGUGGUCUUGCUGGUCUUGUUUUAUCAUUGUCGGAAUGUCUUGUAACCGGGAUUCCGAGACUGAUCGGGUCUUUCCGGGAGAAGGAAUAUCCUUCGCUGAUCGUGAGAGCUUGUGACGGUCUAAGUUGGGACACCCCUGCAGGGUAUAAACUUUCGAAAGCCGUGCCCGCGAUUAUGUGGCAGAUGGGAAUUUGUUAAUAUCCGGAUGUAGAGAACUUGACACUUGACUUAAUUAUAAUGCAUCAACCGCAUGUGUAGCUGUGAUGGUCUCUUUUUGGCGGAGUCUAGGAAGUGAACACGGUUUGGGUUGUGUAUGAACGUAAGUAGUUUCAGGAUCACUUCUUGAUCAUUGCUAGCUUCACGACCGUUGCAUAGCUUCCCUUCUCGCUCUUAUUUGCGUAUGUAAGCCACCAUACUUGCUUACUGUUUGCUGCAACUCCACCUCAUUACCUCAUCCUACCCAUAAGCUUAAAUAAUCUUGACCUCGCGGGUUUUGAGAUUGCUGAGUCCUCGUGAAUCACAGAUACUACCAAAACAGUUGCAGGUGUCGAUGAUACCAGUGCAGGUGAUGCUACCGAACUCAAGUGGGAGUUCGACGAGGAACUUGGUCGUUACUACGUUUCUUUUCCAGAUGAUCAGUAGUGGAGCCCAGUUGGGACGAUCAGGGAUCUAGCAUUUGGGGUUGUCUUCUUUUAUUUUGGUUCCGUAGUCGGACCUUGAUUGUACUCUGAAUGAUGUAUAUUUAAUUAAUGUAUUGUGUGAACUGGCGAUUGUAAGCCAACUCUUUAUCCCA
Molecule: long non-coding RNA, 1577 nt
Filed under: Triticum aestivum (bread wheat)
Lineage: Eukaryota; Viridiplantae; Streptophyta; Magnoliopsida; Poales; Poaceae
Description: long non-coding RNA (TAES_LNC019439)
Source: RNAcentral